Long non-coding RNA from Malus domestica (apple), 1214 nucleotides. RefSeq lists it as uncharacterized. The record is from RefSeq and is a predicted model, not a curated record. NCBI's taxonomy places the organism in Eukaryota, Viridiplantae, Streptophyta, Magnoliopsida, Rosales, Rosaceae.
AAUUUAGAGACUUAUUCAUUUAGCGACAAGUGUCAUUCAAAAUAUGUCUGGAUAAAAAAUUAAAAACGGCGGGUUAUUUUAAUAUGAUAGUUUAAUUCAAUUACCCAAUAAGUUAAAAACAAACUUAAAAAUAAUAAAUUAUUGAGGGGUUAUGUUUAGACCCCGGUUGGAGAUAUUAUAUAAAUGUAGUCUGACAUUGUUUAUUUAAAAACAAUUUUUUGCAGGGCUAUAGUUCUAGAUAGGGCUAUAUUUAGCCCUUUCAGUUAGAGAUGACCUUAUAACACACAUUGUCAUAGAGUUCGACAAUGUUACCGUUCAUGUAGCACACUAGUGAUCCAAUUAUACUUCCAUUCCUAACCGAGGUGUCUAUGGACCUCUUAUAUCUGCACUUACUGUGACACCAAGUAAUUUUAGCCCCCCUUGUUGGAUUUCUGAUUUUCUUUCUACUUGCACGCAUCUUAAAUUCCUGAGAACUUUCACUUGUCAGAUUUUAAGGUUGAUACUGGGGGCUAUCUGCCGGUGCUAUUGCCGGUAUUGUAGUAGCAGCAUUUAUGUCUGUCGCAUUGGUUUUGGUAGUCCUCCGAAUGGCUGGUUACUUAGGGGCUAAAAACGAAGAUGAAGUUUCUUGUGCCCCAAGGUAAUGGUCGAGUUCUUGUCAGCAGACGGCAGUGUCACUGCUAGCUCAAGCUAUCCGCGCGGGCCAAUUCACUUCACUGAAACAUUUCUCAAAACCACUCCUCUCAUUGCCGGUUUACAAUCAGGAACCCAAGUUCUGAACAUAAAAACGAUUGAACACAUUGAAGGGCUGCAGCCGACAGCGUACUUGAAAGUGGUACUAGAGCAAAGAGCAGAGUGUUCCAAAAUGGUGCGGGCAUACGUCAAAUUUACGCUGCAUCACUAGAGCUUGAAUCUGAACUUCCUCGGUUGAAAAGACUUUUCAACAUCAGUCUUGGUUGUUUGCUUCCAGUCUGGUAUUGGAAUCUGGCCGGAAGCUUUCAUAGGUUUCAUUUGCUCUUAUGUAAUUGAACAAAAAUUUGCAAUCAAUGUCACAACACGUUUCAGCAGAAAAACUCUGAGCAUGACAGAUGUGUAUCGAUAUUGUCAAAAAAGAAUGUACAACAUGUCAGUACGUUUUGUUGACGUUAAAAAAGUAUUGAUAACAUGUUCCAGAGUCCUUAGUUUGGUUAAAAAGAAAUUAAGAAUGCCUUUUCUGA